UACAGAGGGUGCAAGCGUUAAUCGGAAUUACUGGGCGUAAAGGGUGCGUAGGUGGUUAAAUAAGUUAGGUGUGAAAGUCCUGGGCUCAACCUGGGGAUUGCGCCUAAUACUGUUUAGCUGGAGUACUGUAGAGGAAGGUGGAAUUUCCGGUGUAGCGGUGAAAUGCGUAGAUAUCGGAAGGAACAUCAGUGGCGAAGGCGACCUUCUGGACAGAUACUGACACUGAGGCACGAAAGCGUGGGGAGCAAACAGG
This 253-nucleotide ribosomal RNA is filed under the name uncultured bacterium. Its description in RNAcentral is "partial 16S ribosomal RNA". It matches the Rfam family "Bacterial small subunit ribosomal RNA", at positions 524 to 776 of the family's 1533-position model. The record is from RNAcentral.